RNAcentral lists this ribosomal RNA (429 nucleotides) under Fusobacteriota bacterium. RNAcentral describes it as "Fusobacteria bacterium partial 16S ribosomal RNA". It matches the Rfam family "Bacterial small subunit ribosomal RNA", at positions 355 to 776 of the family's 1533-position model. Lineage: Bacteria; Fusobacteriati; Fusobacteriota. The record is from RNAcentral.
UAGGGAAUAUUGCGCAAUGGGCGAAAGCCUGACGCAGCGACGCCGCGUGAGGGAUGAAGGUUUUCGGAUCGUAAACCUCUGUCAGAAGGGAAGAAACCGCACUGUGCUAAUCAGCAGUGCCUUGACGGUACCUUCAAAGGAAGCACCGGCUAACUCCGUGCCAGCAGCCGCGGUAAUACGGAGGGUGCAAGCGUUAAUCGGAAUUACUGGGCGUAAAGCGCACGUAGGCUGCUUUGUAAGUCAGGGGUGAAAUCCCACGGCUCAACCGUGGAACUGCCUUUGAUACUGCUUAGCUUGAAUCCGGGAGAGGGUGGCGGAAUUCCAGGUGUAGGAGUGAAAUCCGUAGAUAUCUGGAGGAACAUCAGUGGCGAAGGCGGCCACCUGGACCGGUAUUGACGCUGAGGUGCGAAAGCGUGGGGAGCAAACAGG